AUUGAACGCUGGCGGCAGGCCUAACACAUGCAAGUCGAACGGUAACAGGGAUCAGCUUGCUGAUUCGCUGACGAGUGGCGGACGGGUGAGUAAUGUCUGGGAAACUGCCUGAUGGAGGGGGAUAACUACUGGAAACGGUAGCUAAUACCGCAUAACGUCGCAAGACCAAAGAGGGGGACCUUCGGGCCUCUUGCCAUCGGAUGUGCCCAGAUGGGAUUAGCUAGUAGGUGGGGUAACGGCUCACCUAGGCGACGAUCCCUAGCUGGUCUGAGAGGAUGACCAGCCACACUGGAACUGAGACACGGUCCAGACUCCUACGGGAGGCAGCAGUGGGGAAUAUUGCACAAUGGGCGCAAGCCUGAUGCAGCCAUGCCGCGUGUAUGAAGAAGGCCUUCGGGUUGUAAAGUACUUUCAGCGGGGAGGAAGGGAGUGAAGUUAAUACCUUUGCUCAUUGACGUUACCCGCAGAAGAAGCACCGGCUAACUCCGUG
RNAcentral lists this ribosomal RNA (490 nucleotides) under uncultured bacterium. Its description in RNAcentral is "partial 16S ribosomal RNA". It matches the Rfam family "Bacterial small subunit ribosomal RNA", at positions 30 to 507 of the family's 1533-position model. The record is from RNAcentral.